Molecule: ribosomal RNA, 253 nt
Filed under: uncultured bacterium
Lineage: Bacteria
Description: partial 16S ribosomal RNA
Rfam family: Bacterial small subunit ribosomal RNA
Source: RNAcentral
UACGUAGGGGGCAAGCGUUGUCCGGAUUUAUUGGGCGUAAAGCGCGCGUAGGCGGCGCGGUAUGUCGUACGUGAAAUCUCCCGGCUUAACUGGGAGGGGCCGUGCGAAACUGCCGGGCUUGAGGUCGGAAGGGGAAAGUGGAAUUCCGGGUGUAGUGGUGGAAUACGUAGAUAUCCGGAGGAACACCAGCGGCGAAGGCGGCUUUCUGGUCCGAUACUGACGCUGAGGUGCGAAAGCGUGGGGAGCGAUCCGG